CUCGUAGGCGGCCACUCAAGUCGAAUGUGAAACCUCGAGGCUCAACCUCGAGCCUGCAUUCGAUACUGGGCGGCUAGAGUCUGGUAGGGGGAUCUGGAAUUCCUGAUGUAGCGGUGGAAUGCGCAGAUAUCAGGAGGAACACCGGUGGCGAAGGCGGGAUCCUGGGCCAGUACUGACGCUGAGGAGCGAAAGCGUGGGGAGCAAACA
This 207-nucleotide ribosomal RNA is filed under the name uncultured bacterium. RNAcentral's name for it is "partial 16S ribosomal RNA". It matches the Rfam family "Bacterial small subunit ribosomal RNA", at positions 568 to 774 of the family's 1533-position model. The record is from RNAcentral.